GAACGGACUCUUCGGAGUUAGUGGCGGACGGGUGAGUAACGCGUGAGAAUCUACCCUUAGGUUGGGGACAACAGUUGGAAACGACUGCUAAUACCCAAUGUGCCGAGAGGUGAAAGGUUUACUGCCUGAGGAUGAGCUCGCGUCUGAUUAGCUAGUUGGUGGGGUAAGAGCGUACCAAGGCGACGAUCAGUAGCUGGUCUGAGAGGAUGAUCAGCCACACUGGGACUGAGACACGGCCCAGACUCCUACGGGAGGCAGCAGUGGGGAAUAUUGGACAAUGGGCGCAAGCCUGAUCCAGCCAUGCCGCGUGAGUGAAGAAGGCCUUAGGGUUGUAAAGCUCUUUCACCCGUGACGAUAAUGACGGUAGCGGGAGAAGAAGCCCCGGCUAACUCCGUGCCAGCAGCCGCGGUAAUACGGAGGGGGCUAGCGUUGUUCGGAAUUACUGGGCGUAAAGCGCGCGUAGGCGGCUUGAUCAGUUGGGCGUGAAAGGCCUGGGCUCAACCCGGGAACUGCGCUCAAUACGGUCAGGCUUGAGUUCGGAAGAGGGUAGUGGAACUCCCAGUGUAGAGGUGAAAUUCGUAGAUAUUGGGAAGAACACCAGUGGCGAAGGCGGCUACCUGGUCCGAAACUGACGCUGAUGCGCGAAAGCGUGGGGAGCAAAC
This 662-nucleotide ribosomal RNA is filed under the name uncultured bacterium. RNAcentral's name for it is "bacterial SSU rRNA". It matches the Rfam family "Bacterial small subunit ribosomal RNA", at positions 64 to 773 of the family's 1533-position model. The record is from RNAcentral.